This 1296-nucleotide ribosomal RNA is filed under the name metagenome. RNAcentral's name for it is "bacterial SSU rRNA". It matches the Rfam family "Bacterial small subunit ribosomal RNA", at positions 8 to 1275 of the family's 1533-position model. The record is from RNAcentral.
AGAGUUUGAUCCUGGCUCAGAAUGAACGCUGGCGGCGUGCCUAACACAUGCAAGUCGAACGAGAAAUUUCCGCUUCGGCGGAGAGAGUAAAGUGGCGCACGGGUGAGUAACGCGUGGGUAACCUGCCUUUGAAUCUAGGAUAACCCCGUGAAAACGGGACUAAUACUGGAUAAUGUCCCUUUGGCUGUGGCCUUAGGGAUGAAAGGUGACCUCUUCAUGAAAGUUGCCGUUCAAAGAGGGGCCCGCGUACCAUUAGCUUGUUGGUGGGGUAACGCCUACCAAGGCUACGAUGGUUAGCUGGUCUGAGAGGAUGAUCAGCCACACUGGAACUGGAACACGGUCCAGACUCCUACGGGAGGCAGCAGUGAGGAAUUUUGCGCAAUGGGGGAAACCCUGACGCAGCAACGCCGCGUGAGUGAUGAAGAUUUUCGGAUCGUAAAGCUCUGUCAAGCGGGAAAAAAUUCUUUCGGUCAAUACCCGGAAGAACUGAUGGUACCGCUGGAGGAAGCACCGGCUAACUCCGUGCCAGCAGCCGCGGUAAUACGGAGGGUGCAAGCGUUGUUCGGAUUUACUGGGCGUAAAGAGCGUGUAGGUGGUUUAGCAAGUCAGAUGUGAAAGCCCUGGGCUCAACUCAGGAAGUGCAUUUGAAACUGUUAUUCUAGAGUAUGGGAGAGGAGAGUGGAAUUCCCAGUGUAGAGGUGAAAUUCGUAGAUAUUGGGAGGAACACCGGUGGCGAAGGCGACUCUCUGGACCAAUACUGACACUGAGACGCGAAAGCGUGGGGAGCAAACAGGAUUAGAUACCCUGGUAGUCCACGCGGUAAACGAUGAGAACUAGGUGUAGCGGGUAUUGACCCCUGCUGUGCCGCAGCUAACGCAUUAAGUUCUCCGCCUGGGGAGUACGGCCGCAAGGCUAAAACUCAAAGGAUUUGACGGGGGCCCGCACAAGCGGUGGAGCAUGUGGUUUAAUUCGACGCAACGCGAAGAACCUUACCUGGAUUUGACAUCCUCUUGCAGCCCUGGAAACAGGGUUUUUCCGACUUGUCGGAAGAGAGUGACAGGUGCUGCAUGGCUGUCGUCAGCUCGUGUCGUGAGAUGUUGGGUUAAGUCCCGCAACGAGCGCAACCCUUGUCUCUAGUUGCCAGUAUUAAGUUAGGGACUCUAGAGAGACUGCCUCGGUUAACGGGGAGGAAGGUGGGGAUGACGUCAAGUCCUCAUGGCCUUUAUAUCCAGGGCUACACACGUGCUACAAUGGGCUGUACAAAGGGUCGCUAACUCGCGAGAGUACGCCAAUCCC